GAUGAACGCUGGCGGCGUGCCUAAUACAUGCAAGUCGAGCGAACGGACGAGAAGCUUGCUUCUCUGAUGUUAGCGGCGGACGGGUGAGUAACACGUGGAUAACCUACCUAUAAGACUGGGAUAACUUCGGGAAACCGGAGCUAAUACCGGAUAAUAUUUUGAACCGCAUGGUUCAAAAGUGAAAGACGGUCUUGCUGUCACUUAUAGAUGGAUCCGCGCUGCAUUAGCUAGUUGGUAAGGUAACGGCUUACCAAGGCAACGAUGCAUUGCCGACCUGAGAGGGUGAUCGGCCACACUGGAACUGAGACACGGUCCAGACUCCUACGGGAGGCAGCAGUAGGGAAUCUUCCGCAAUGGGCGAAAGCCUGACGGAGCAACGCCGCGUGAGUGAUGAAGGUCUUCGGAUCGUAAAACUCUGUUAUUAGGGAAGAACAUAUGUGUAAGUAACUGUGCACAUCUUGACGGUACCUAAUCAGAAAGCCACGGCUAACUACGUGCCAGCACCCGCGGAAGUACGUAGGUGGCAAGCGUUAUCCGGAAUUAUUGGGCGUAAAGCGCGCGUAGGCGGUUUUUUAGUCUGAUGUGAAAGCCCACGGCUCAACCGUGGAGGGUCAUUGGAAACUGGAAAACUUGAGUGCAGAAGAGGAAAGUGGAAUUCCAUGUGUAGCGGUGAAAUGCGCAGAGAUAUGGAGGAACACCAGUGGCGAAGGCGACUUUCUGGUCUGUAACUGACGCUGAUGUGCGAAAGCGUGGGGAUCAAACAGGAUUAGAUACCCUGGUAGUCCACGCCGUAAACGAUGAGUGCUAAGUGUUAGGGGGUUUCCGCCCCUUAGUGCUGCAGCUAACGCAUUAAGCACUCCGCCUGGGGAGUACGACCGUAAGGUUGAAACUCAAAGGAAUUGACGGGGACCCGCACAAGCGGUGGAGCAUGUGGUUUAAUUCGAAGCAACGCGAAGAACCUUACCAAAUCUUGACAUCCUUUGACAACUCUAGAGAUAGAGCCUUCUCCUUCGGGGGACAAAGUGACAGGUGGUGCAUGGUUGUCGUCAGCUCGUGUCGUGAGAUGUUGGGUUAAGUCCCGCAACGAGCGCAACCCUUAAGCUUAGUUGCCAUCAUUAAGUUGGGCACUCUAAGUUGACUGCCGGUGACAAACCGGAGGAAGGUGGGGAUGACGUCAAAUCAUCAUGCCCCUUAUGAUUUGGGCUACACACGUGCUACAAUGGACAAUACAAAGGGCAGCGAAACCGCGAGGUCAAGCAAAUCCCAUAAAGUUGUUCUCAGUUCGGAUUGUAGUCUGCAACUCGACUACAUGAAGCUGGAAUCGCUAGUAAUCGUAGAUCAGCAUGCUACGGUGAAUACGUUCCCGGGUCU
This 1371-nucleotide ribosomal RNA is filed under the name uncultured bacterium. RNAcentral's name for it is "bacterial SSU rRNA". It matches the Rfam family "Bacterial small subunit ribosomal RNA", at positions 28 to 1381 of the family's 1533-position model. The record is from RNAcentral.